Molecule: ribosomal RNA, 404 nt
Filed under: uncultured Eubacteriales bacterium
Lineage: Bacteria; Bacillati; Bacillota; Clostridia; Eubacteriales
Description: uncultured Clostridiales bacterium partial 16S ribosomal RNA
Rfam family: Bacterial small subunit ribosomal RNA
Source: RNAcentral
UGGGGAAUAUUGCGCAAUGGGGGAAACCCUGACGCAGCAACGCCGCGUGAAGGAAGAAGGCCUUCGGGUUGUAAACUUAUGUCUUUAGGGAAGAGUAGAAGACGGUACCUAAGGAGGAAGCCACGGCUAACUACGUGCCAGCAGCCGCGGUAAUACGUAGGUGGCAAGCGUUAUCCGGAAUUACUGGGUGUAAAGGGAGCGUAGGCGGGACUUUAAGUCAGAUGUGAAAUACUGAGGCUCAACCUCAGGGCUGCAUUUGAAACUGGAGUUCUUGAGUGUCGGAGAGGUAAGUGGAAUUCCUAGUGUAGCGGUGAAAUGCGUAGAUAUUAGGAGGAACAUCGGUGGCGAAGGCGACUUACUGGACGAUAACUGACGCUGAGGCUCGAAAGUGUGGGGAGCAAACA